Physella acuta is the source of this 409-nucleotide long non-coding RNA. RefSeq lists it as uncharacterized. The record is from RefSeq and is a predicted model, not a curated record. Lineage: Eukaryota; Metazoa; Mollusca; Gastropoda; Physidae.
AGGCGAGUGAAUCGCCUUCUUUUCGCCAUUUUGGGCGCGGCGUGUGUUAGAAUUGUACAAAACAAACACUGGUCUAUCGUCCGCCCUCUGCCGGCUACGAAAAGUUAGACUUUUAAAAAAAACUUGAACUAAUCUUCUAACAUUCUUGUAAUAAAGUAUUUUUUUUUUUAAAUUUGUAACGCGAAAAAAAAAAAAACUUGGCUGAACUCCAACUAGCAGACGUUUAUCUCUGCAUUGAUAUGCUAAUUUAAAACCUAUCCAGUCGACAUGACUGGUAAUUCGCGCGAUACGUUUGCCGCUAUUCUGCUAAAUAGGUGUUCGCGGCGACCAGCAAAUUGCCACACCUGGGCUGUCAGCGUCCCCUGUCACAGGUUUCAUUCAUAGGGUUGGAGCAGUUGUACAUAUGCAU